Molecule: long non-coding RNA, 686 nt
Organism: Ictalurus punctatus (channel catfish)
Lineage: Eukaryota; Metazoa; Chordata; Actinopteri; Siluriformes; Ictaluridae
Source: Ensembl
GGUAAAGCUUUCACAAUAUUCACAAUACAUAGAUAGGCCCUAGUACCCUUUACUGUGGGUUACAAUGACUAGGGCAUAUCACAUGAAUCAUUGAUAGUGCACUAGAAGUAAUAACUAGAAGUAAUAGGGUUAGGGUUACAAAGGCAAGGUGUAUCAGGUAGAAAAAGUUCAUGAUAGGUAAACAGGUCCUAGUACCCAUCCUUGGGGUUACAAUCACUAGGGGAUUUCAGCUGGAACAUCACACAUACACUAUAGGUAAACAGGUCCUAGUACCCAUCCUUGGGGUUACAAUCACUAGGGGAUAUCAGCUGGAACAUCACACAUACACUAUAGGUAAACAGGUCCUAGUACCCAUCCUUGGGGUUACAGUGACUAGGGGAUAUCAGCUGGAACAUCACACAUACACUAUAGGUAAACAGGCCCCUAGUACCCAUCCUUGGGGUUACAAUGGCAAGGUGUAUCAGGUGGAAAAGCAAGCAUUCACAACAAAAACAGCCCCUAGUAGCCAUACUUUAAGUCUUCUUAGCUUCCCAAAAUCUUGGAACCUAAGAGUAGCCCCGGUCAAACAGAGAACAGAGAAGUAACUCUGCACUGUUAUGUUGCUUACCAUACUUUUCCCUUCUACUCUGUUGUACGGUUCCACACAUGUAGAACCUUUAGAGCUUCCCAGGAGGACGACCAAAGAA